Molecule: ribosomal RNA, 462 nt
Filed under: uncultured bacterium
Lineage: Bacteria
Description: partial 16S ribosomal RNA
Rfam family: Bacterial small subunit ribosomal RNA
Source: RNAcentral
GACGAACGCUGGCGGCGUGCUUAACACAUGCAAGUCGAGCGGUAAGGCCUUUCGGGGUACACGAGCGGCGAACGGGUGAGUAACACGUGGGUGAUCUGCCCUGCACUUCGGGAUAAGCCUGGGAAACUGGGUCUAAUACCGGAUAUGACCUCCUAUCGCAUGGUGGGUGGUGGAAAGAUUUAUCGGUGCAGGAUGGGCCCGCGGCCUAUCAGCUUGUUGGUGGGGUAAUGGCCUACCAAGGCGACGACGGGUAGCCGACCUGAGAGGGUGACCGGCCACACUGGGACUGAGACACGGCCCAGACUCCUACGGGAGGCAGCAGUGGGGAAUAUUGCACAAUGGGCGAAAGCCUGAUGCAGCGACGCCGCGUGAGGGAUGACGGCCUUCGGGUUGUAAACCUCUUUCAGCAGGGACGAAGCGUAAGUGACGGUACCUGCAGAAGAAGCACCGGCUAACUACGUG